The sequence is a transfer RNA, 74 nucleotides long. It matches the Rfam family "tRNA". From Rfam's summary of the family: Transfer RNA (tRNA) molecules are approximately 80 nucleotides in length. Their secondary structure includes four short double-helical elements and three loops (D, anti-codon, and T loops). Further hydrogen bonds mediate the characteristic L-shaped molecular structure. tRNAs have two regions of fundamental functional importance: the anti-codon, which is responsible for specific mRNA codon recognition, and the 3' end, to which the tRNAs corresponding amino acid is attached (by aminoacyl-tRNA synthetases). tRNAs cope with the degeneracy of the genetic code in two manners: having more than one tRNA (with a specific anti-codon) for a particular amino acid; and 'wobble' base-pairing, i.e. permitting non-standard base-pairing at the 3rd anti-codon position.
GGGCCGGUAGAUCAGUCUGGUAGAUCGCCGCGCUGGUAACGCGGAGGUCGCGGGUUCAAAUCCCGCCCGGUCCA